RNAcentral lists this ribosomal RNA (418 nucleotides) under uncultured microorganism. RNAcentral describes it as "bacterial SSU rRNA". It matches the Rfam family "Bacterial small subunit ribosomal RNA", at positions 9 to 429 of the family's 1533-position model. The record is from RNAcentral.
GAGUUUGAUCGUGGCUCAGAUUGAACGCUAGCGGGAUGCCUUACACAUGCAAGUCGAACGGCAGCACGGACUUCGGUCUGGUGGCGAGUGGCGAACGGGUGAGUAAUGUAUCGGAACGUGCCUAGUAGCGGGGGGAUAACUACGCGAAAGCGUAGCUAAUACCGCAUACGCCCUACGGGGAAAGGACAGGGAGUCGCAAGACCUUGCACUAUUAGAGCGGCCGGAUAUCGGAUUAGCUAGUUGGUGGGGUAACGGCUCACCAAGGCGACGAUCCGUAGCUGGUUUGAGAGGACGACCAGCCACACUGGGACUGAGACACGGCCCAGACUCCUACGGGAGGCAGCAGUGGGGAAUUUUGGACAAUGGGGAAACCCGUGAUCCAGCCAUCCGCGUGUGCGAUGAAGGCCUCGGUUGUAAG